Molecule: ribosomal RNA, 753 nt
Filed under: Entrophospora claroidea
Lineage: Eukaryota; Fungi; Glomeromycota; Glomeromycetes; Entrophosporales; Entrophosporaceae
Description: partial 25S ribosomal RNA
Rfam family: Eukaryotic large subunit ribosomal RNA
Source: RNAcentral
AAAGAAACUAACAAGGAUUCCCCUAGUAACGGCGAGUGAAGAGGGAAGAGCUCAAAUUUUAAAUCUGCCUUGUUUACAAGGUUGAGUUGUAGUUUGAAGAAGCGUUUUCUUGGUUGGGCGUAUGUCUGGUAACAAGUUCCUUGGAAUAGGACAUCAUAGAGGGUGAUAAUCCCGUUUGUGCCGGCCAUGCGUUCAUCUACGAUACCAUCUACGAUACGCUUUCAAAGAGUCGAGUUGUUUGGGAUUGCAGCUCCAAAUGGGUGGUAAACAUCACCUAAGGCUAAAUACUGGCGAGAGACCGAUAGCGAACAAGUACCGUGAGGGAAAGAUGAAAAGAACUUUGAAAAGAGAGUUAAACAGUACGUGAAAUUGUUGAAAGGGAAACGAUUGAAGUCAGUCGUGCUGGCGCGAAAUCAACCCUCUCAUCGGGAGACCCAUGUUGUGGCGAGCCUCAAAACCGCCACAGCAUGUGUCUCACGAUGAGGGGGAGCACUUUCGUGUCCGCUGGUUAACAUCAAUUUCGAACGUCAUAAAAAGGCUGGAGGGAUGUGGCUCCUUCGGGAGUGUUAUAACCUUUAGCGGAAUGUGGUGUUCGGGAUUGAGGAUUGCAACGAAUACCUUUAGGGCUGUUCCACCUGGUUUCUCUUUGGUAUCCUGGUGACGACAGCUUGCUGACGUCGUUAGGAUUCGCCUUUGAACAGGCUAGAGUGUGAGCAAAUUCGUUAAGGAUGUUAACGUAAUGGCUUAAACGAC